Molecule: long non-coding RNA, 1348 nt
Organism: Octopus sinensis (East Asian common octopus)
Lineage: Eukaryota; Metazoa; Mollusca; Cephalopoda; Octopoda; Octopodidae
Exons: 2
Source: RefSeq, a predicted model, not a curated record
UUUUUUUUAAAUACAAUUCUGUGGGAACAUUCAAAUGUACAACAACUACAAAAAAAAGAAAUCAUUAAAAAAUAAUAUUGAAAAAAAAAAAAAAUGUUUAAAAAAAAUGGCAGCUGCCAACCGCAACUUAGCAGAACUGACUGAACUGGUAUCUUUGUUACACAGGCAAGUGUACUCCGAUAUCUACAUACAUAUUUCACUUUCUAUACAUACAUAUACACACACACCACUUCUACACAUGCUUUCCUUCCUCUUACAACAUUACCAAUCAAAAAAAGAAACCCAUGUGCAUAUAUAUAUAUAAUAUAUAAAAUAUAUAUAUAUAUGUUUGUGUGUGUGUGUGUACAUACAUGAGUAUAUGUACAUGCAUACAUAAUGGAACUUGCAGGCAAGAUUAUGAACUGUGAACAUUUAAUAAACAGCAAAAAUUUCACCCGGAAUAUUUUUUCCCCCCUCCUUGCAACUUGAUGGACAAUUCCCCCUUCCCCUCCCCCCUUGUUUUUUUAAAAAAAAAGGAAAAAAAUCUGACUCCGCAUCAAGUCAUUUGUACUUUUUGACUGUUUGUUCUGGGCAGUUUUACCAUUUUGCUUCAAGUGCUUCUGUUACUUCAAAACACGGCAGAAGCAUUCUCCCCCGUUCAAUUACCAAUGAGAAGUUUAUCUACUUCAGAGACUUUGUUAACCCGUCUAUAGAAAUUCAACUACUCAAACAAGGAUUUCCGAUUCUUGGGCAAUACAAGGAAUUAUGCAGUGCAGUGGCUUUAUUUGCAAAAGAGAUAUAUAGAGAGAGAGAGAGAGAGAAAAGCAUGAUUUGAGGAUGCCAGGCAGAAGACGGGAAGAGUGGCGGGAAAAGAGUCACGGUUGCUAAUUUUGUUGUUUUUUUUUUUUCAAACCUCAAAUGAGACUGAGCUGGCAUCAUAAAAACACACGGCAACUGAAAUUUCAAACUUUAAAAGCAAGCUGUAACUCCAUCCUGCCAUAUUUUACUUACGAUAAAUCUCUCUGUCCCUUUUUUCUUCUUUUUUUGGUUGGUUGCAUGGUUGUUUAAGGGGACUGGCUAGAAGCUAAGAAAAAUCUCAUUCCCACCCAUCCAGUCAUUUUUUGUUAUAUUUUGACAUUAUAUGUUCUUAUAUAUGCAGAGAGGAAAAUUAAAUUAAAUUCACUCACCGCGAGGUCAACCACUCCGUUCUAGUGCCAGGAAGGCAGCGCAUCUUAAGGGGAGACAACUCCCCUCAGUCUUAAGGGAGACAACUCAUAAUCCCUUCCCUCCUCACUCCCAAAAAGAAAAAAAAAAAUUACCAGAAACUUAUCAAUAGCUUUUGAUUUAAACUAAAACAGUAAAAAAAGAA